GGGUCCUGCAGUCGACGAUUCCUACGGGAGGCAGCAGUAGGGAAUCAUCCGCAAUGGGCGAAAGCCUGACGGUGCAACGCCGCGUGAGUGAUGAAGGUUUUCGGAUCGUAAAGCUCUGUUGACAGGGAAGAACCCACGUCAGUCGAACAGGCUGGCGUGCUGACGGUACCUGUCCAGAAAGCCCCGGCUAACUACGUGCCAGCAGCCGCGGUAAUACGUAGGGGGCAAGCGUUGUCCGGAAUUAUUGGGCGUAAAGGGCACGCAGGCGGUUUCGUCAGUCCGAUGUGACAGGCCACGGCUCAACCGUGGAAGGCCAUUGGAAACUGCGAAACUUGAGGACAGAAGAGGAGAGUGGAAUUCCACGUGUAGCGGUGAAAUGCGUAGAUAUGUGGAGGAACACCAGUGGCGAAGGCGACUCUCUGGUCUGUACCUGACGCUGAGGUGCGAAAGCAUGGGGAGCAAACAGGAUUAGAUACCCUGGUAGUCCAUGCCGUAAACGCUGAGUGCUAGGUGUUAGGGGUUUCGAUACCCGUAGUGCCGAAGCUAACGCAUUAAGCACUCCGCCUGGGGAGUACGACCGCAAGGUUGAAACUUAAAGGAAUUGACGG
This 608-nucleotide ribosomal RNA is filed under the name Marinococcus sp. ZJ0902B42. RNAcentral describes it as "bacterial SSU rRNA". It matches the Rfam family "Bacterial small subunit ribosomal RNA", at positions 314 to 916 of the family's 1533-position model. Lineage: Bacteria; Bacillati; Bacillota; Bacilli; Caryophanales; Bacillaceae. The record is from RNAcentral.